GACACAUUUGUUCUGAUUGAAGCUCCGGGGAGAAAUGUAACAGAACUGUGGAGGAAUGUGGAGACUAAGAAGCUAACCAAGAAGCUAACCGAGCAGGAACCCAGGACCAUACCAAGGGCAUCCGAAGGAAGCAGCAAAUUCAGAACACCGGCUAGUGUUGCCUGAGGUCUCGGCUGAAACACCGAGUUCCAGCAUUUGCUUGGUGCUGGCCUCACCUCAGCAUCCGGGUUGUGAGUCAUCCAGGACUAGCGAGUCACACUUUGGCAGGAAUGGCUCUUCCUCUUGAGAAGUCGAAGCUGUUGGAGGAGUGACACUGGCUUCUCUGGAGCUGGAUGUCGUCUCAGUCCAUCAUGUAUGCAGCUGCGGUUGACAUUCUAAGGAAACUUGCACUUUCUACAUAGAAUCCUGGAUUUUUAAAUUGAUGUGAGUCAAAAUUUAUACUUCAUCUCAUUAAUUCAAUUGAGUUUGAAUAAUCCAUUAAAUUUAUAAAUGAAAAUAU
Chionomys nivalis (European snow vole) is the source of this 499-nucleotide long non-coding RNA. RefSeq lists it as uncharacterized. NCBI's taxonomy places the organism in Eukaryota, Metazoa, Chordata, Mammalia, Rodentia, Cricetidae. The transcript is spliced from 3 exons. The record is from RefSeq and is a predicted model, not a curated record.